GUCAUCAUUUGCUCUGCAUCCUGGCUGGGCUGUGUCAAAAGCUACCUUCACUCUAGGUGAGGACACUUCCUAUCUGCCAACUGCAGCACACUGUUUAAUAUUUAUUCUAACAUAUCAAGUAAAAUAGAUAGCUAUUUCGCUUUGUUUUCUCUGGGUAAGGCUGCAGGUAUACACGACAGUGAAUAGAAAGGCUUGUGCAGUGGCUGCAAUAGUGUGCAGCUAUGGGGGACAAGGCCACAGAACUGCUAGUGCUGUUAAAAUAACAAGUGAGGAACUCAGGGCUGCACUGCUCCCACUUCCAGUUACGCUGUGUUUAGAGGAUGACUUGACAGUGCUUGCGGUGGUUGUGGUGACAAUCUUUCUCACAGUUGGUUUCGGUUCAUUUCUGUUUUCUGGAUGGGUUUUCUUGUCCUUGAGUAUAUCUGCUGUGUGAAUCCUGUCACCAGAUCCUUGGCAGCCAUCCUCAUCAUCACAGUCCCCACUUGUCUCCAACUCUUCGCUUCUUCCUCCCCCACUGCCAGCAUCUCGGGAAGCCCAUCUCUCCAGUUUUAAUUUUGCCUUCUCAGCAUCCAGUUGAUUAAAGUUCUGAAGUUUAUCAAUCAAAGUGCUGAUGAGUGGGUCUAGUCCUCUGACUUUCAGUUCCGGAUUAUUAAUUUGUGCCUUCAGUCCACUGGAAACAACUCUGCUGGUAUAACUUUCCACAACAUCUUCUCCAUUCCAGCAGGUUGAGCUGUCUCUCAUCACCAGGUCUCCAUCACACAGCCUUUCUGCUAUAGAGGCAUAAAAGGUUCGGGAUCGCUUCAUAUAAUUGAUGAAUUCUCUUCUUUUAUUGUUCAGACUAGCAUGGGCCAACACAAGCGUCUGGGCUUCAGCUGCUUCCUUCAGUGGCACUAUAUGGCCUGAUGACAGGUUCCCUUCUUGUUGUUUGGGCUGUCCACACACUUUAUCAACUGUAGCAGAAAGCUGUGGUCCAUUCAACUGUGCGUGCAGGAUGGCUUCGUUGAUGGAGUUCCAGAUUCCCAUCAGUGCCAUUUCCAGAUCAUGCGAGGCAGCCAUUUCGUUAGUCAGAUAUUCCAGCGUGGAGAUAUACUCCCUCCAUUGCAUAUCCAGUUCUGACACGCUGGCCAAGCAGCCCCUCAUCACAUUCAGACAGUAUCCAACACAGGGUCUGAUUAGUGUCAGACCCUGGCAAUGUGGGCAGUACUGCAUCCUCACUAGAGCUCUACUGCACUCCUUGGUGAGAGCAGCGUGUUCAGUAGUAUUU
RNAcentral lists this long non-coding RNA (1264 nucleotides) under Gallus gallus (chicken). The record is from RNAcentral. Lineage: Eukaryota; Metazoa; Chordata; Aves; Galliformes; Phasianidae.